AGCUUUGCGCAGUGGCAGUAUCGUAGCCAAUGAGGCUUAUCUGAGACGCGAUUUUUGCUAAUUGAGAACUUUUCCCAAUACCCCACCAUAACUUGAAAUAUAGUCAGCAUUGGCAAUUUUUGACAGUCUCUAUGGAGA
Erinaceus europaeus (western European hedgehog) is the source of this 138-nucleotide non-coding RNA. NCBI's taxonomy places the organism in Eukaryota, Metazoa, Chordata, Mammalia, Eulipotyphla, Erinaceidae. The record is from Rfam.